Molecule: unclassified non-coding RNA, 343 nt
Filed under: soil metagenome
Description: partial contains 5.8S ribosomal RNA, internal transcribed spacer 2, and large subunit ribosomal RNA
Rfam family: 5.8S ribosomal RNA (bases 1-119)
Source: RNAcentral
GAUGAAGAACGUAGCGAAAUGCGAUACGUAAUGUGAAUUGCAAAUUCAGUGAAUCAUCGAGUCUCUGAACGCACAUUGCGCCCCCUGGUAUUCCGGGGGGCAUGCCUGUCCGAGCGUCAUUACUGCCCUCAAGCCCGGCUUGUGUGUUGGGCCCCGUCCUCCGAUCCCGGGGGACGGGCCCGAAAGGCAGCGGCGGCACCGCGUCCGGUCCUCGAGCGUAUGGGGCUUUGUCACCCGCUCUGUAGGCCCGGCCGGCGCUUGCCGAUCAACCCCAAUUUUUAUAGGUUGACCUCGGAUCAGGUAGGGAUACCCGCUGAACUUAAGCAUAUCAAUAAGCGGAGGA